UACGUGAAACUGCUCAGAGGUAAACGGGUGGGCCCUCGAAAUCCUGUGGCGAGAGGAUUCAGUCUGGGGCGGCGGACGUGAGGACCGGAAAUCGAGGAAGGGCAUCCCGAUCCGGGGCCGUCCGGUCGCACGCAGCGCCGCUGCUACCAGACGCAUUUGACUCUCGCCCUAAGGACGCCGCAGCCGGUUGGGUAGUGCAAGCGCGACGGCCUGAGGGGCGGAAGAUGGCAGGUGGCCGGUGGCGUACGGUUCUCGUGCGUCGCCGGUUGUUAGCCGUUCCGUCAGUGGCCCGUCACCCGACCGAGGUGUCGCGAGGCUCCCCGCAGGAGUCUCCCCGUCUCCUCCUCCAUGGAUGUCGGGACAGAGUGCCGCAGGUGGCAGACGCCGUCCCGUUCGCACCCCACCAGGGGUGGUCGGGCGAGUGCAGGCCGCCGUUGGCGGUGCCGGACCCGUCGGAGGUCGGAGGCUGGCGGCGAGUAGGUCGGUCACCCACCCGACCCGUCUUGAAACACGGACCAAGGAGUCUAACAUGUGCGCGAGUCAAUGGGUCUUGAACAGGCCCAGGGGCGCAAUGAAAGCAAAGGUCGGCCUAAGCCGACCGAGUUGGGAUCCCCGGUCUCGGCCGGGGCGCACCAACGACCCGUCCCGUCCGGCUCGCCGGUGGGGCGGAGUGUGAGCGUACACGUUGGGACCCGAAAGAUGGUGAACUAUGCCCGGACAGGA
Molecule: ribosomal RNA, 723 nt
Filed under: Araneae sp. NZAC03010495
Lineage: Eukaryota; Metazoa; Arthropoda; Arachnida; Araneae
Description: eukaryotic LSU rRNA
Rfam family: Eukaryotic large subunit ribosomal RNA (bases 515-723)
Source: RNAcentral